Molecule: ribosomal RNA, 207 nt
Filed under: uncultured bacterium
Lineage: Bacteria
Description: partial 16S ribosomal RNA
Rfam family: Bacterial small subunit ribosomal RNA
Source: RNAcentral
AGUGUAGGCGGCUACGUAAGUCGGAUGUGAAAGCCCUGGGCUUAACCUGGGAAUUGCAUUCGAAACUGCGUGGCUAGAGUUUGAUAGAGGUAAGUGGAAUUCCGGGUGUAGCGGUGAAAUGCGUAGAUAUCCGGAGGAACAUCAGUGGCGAAGGCGGCUUACUGGAUCAAAACUGACGCUGAUGCUCGAAAGCGUGGGGAGCAAACA